UGCCUGCAAAUUCAGGGAGCCCUUCUGAGUCUUAACGAGGGCUUGAAUAUACUUUCAGAGAAAUGCCAGCAAAAACUGUAGUCAUUUGGGGAAGAAUAAGUCUGGAAGAAAAAUACACAGAGGACUAGCACCAAGAGGGUGAAUAAGAUGUGUGCCCAACACCACCCAGCCAACAAGGAACAAAGCCAGGAUUUAAAUUUAGACAGUUGCAGCUCAGAGCCUACAUUCUUUCUCCUCACCCUGAGGGGAAGCGGGAGAAGGAGUGUUUGUGUUUGGGUGGGGGGUGGGAUUUGAACAUAGAUAGAUAUAUAUUAUCUUAUAUCCAAGAUCAAUCUGUCUCUUCUUCCUCUGCCUUCUACGACAUCCUUACUCAUCUACUCAAGGACUUUAUAACUGCUGUGUCACAAAUCACCUCAAAACUUGGUGGCUUAAGACAACAAUCAUACAGCAUUGCUCACAACUCUAAAGCAGUGAGAGAUUUUAGACAUGAACAGAGCUCCACUGGACUUGAAUUGCUUUGAUAAAUCUCAGCUCAUGAUGGUGACAAUCCUGAGGAUAUAGGAAAGUCAUUUCCCCUGCAGGAAGAAAAAAAAUAUCCUAUAGGAGAGAUGAGUAUGCCAAGAAGCCAAAAAAGGUAAGAAAAUAAUAUCUAUUCAUUCACUCAGUCAACAAACAUAUGAAGUACCUACUAUGAAAAGCAUGGCACUAGGAUCGAGAAUCUUACAUUAGUCUGUACCCUCAAGAGUUUAAUGACAAUUCAGGGAUAAAAUGGAAUGUAAUGAGGGUUAGAACACGUCCCUCCAGAAGGCACGCAAGGGGUAUAUAUGGCAGGGAUUCGGACAGACCUCCCGGAGAAGAUGCUGUCUGGAUGGGAUGCAGGGGGACGAAAUACUGCAGGUAUUCAUUAUGGCUAGAGUGUCAGUGUGGGAAAGCAUG
This is a long non-coding RNA of Lynx canadensis (Canada lynx), 936 nucleotides long. RefSeq lists it as uncharacterized. NCBI's taxonomy places the organism in Eukaryota, Metazoa, Chordata, Mammalia, Carnivora, Felidae. The transcript is spliced from 4 exons. The record is from RefSeq and is a predicted model, not a curated record.